CUCCUACGGGAGGCAGCAGUGGGGAAUAUUGGACAAUGGGGGCAACCCUGAUCCAGCCAUGCCGCGUGCGUGAAGAAGGCCUUAGGGUUGUAAAGCGCUUUCACCGGUGACGAUGAUGACGGUAGCCGGAGAAGAAGCCCCGGCUAACUCCGUGCCAGCAGCCGCGGUAAUACGGAGGGGGCAAGCGUUGUUCGGAAUUACUGGGCGUAAAGGGCGCGUAGGCGGAAGAUCAAGUCAGGGGUGAAAGGCCUGGGCUCAACCCGGGAACUGCCUUUGAAACUGAUUUUCUAGAGUACGGGAGAGGAUGGCGGAAUUCCCAGUGUAGAGGUGAAAUUCGUAGAUAUUGGGAAGAACACCAGUGGCGAAGGCGGCCAUCUGGCCCGGUACUGACGCUAAGGCGCGAAAGCGUGGGGAGCAAACAGGAUUAGAUACCCUGGUAGUCCACGCCGUAAACGAUGUGUGCUAGCCGUUGGGGCCUCAGGCUUCGGUGGCGCAGUUAACGCGUUAAGCACACCGCCUGGGGAGUACGGCCGCAAGGUUAAAACUCAAAGGAAUUGACGG
Molecule: ribosomal RNA, 561 nt
Filed under: uncultured bacterium
Lineage: Bacteria
Description: bacterial SSU rRNA
Rfam family: Bacterial small subunit ribosomal RNA
Source: RNAcentral